RNAcentral lists this small nucleolar RNA (74 nucleotides) under Chlamydomonas reinhardtii. Its description in RNAcentral is "CrCD29 snoRNA". The record is from RNAcentral. Lineage: Eukaryota; Viridiplantae; Chlorophyta; Chlorophyceae; Chlamydomonadales; Chlamydomonadaceae.
GCAUAGUGAUGACAACAAACUCAGCUCACUCGGAGUCUGAUGACGAUAACAUGUUCCAACCAUUUUCUGAAUGC